GGGUCUGUAGCUCAGGUGGUUAGAGUUCAGCUGGUCGUAGGUCGGAGGUUCAACUCUUCCCAGACCCACCA
This 71-nucleotide transfer RNA is filed under the name Wolbachia endosymbiont of Drosophila incompta. RNAcentral describes it as "tRNA-OTHER". It matches the Rfam family "tRNA". Rfam says of the family: Transfer RNA (tRNA) molecules are approximately 80 nucleotides in length. Their secondary structure includes four short double-helical elements and three loops (D, anti-codon, and T loops). The record is from RNAcentral. Lineage: Bacteria; Pseudomonadati; Pseudomonadota; Alphaproteobacteria; Rickettsiales; Anaplasmataceae.